Long non-coding RNA from Entelurus aequoreus (snake pipefish), 2884 nucleotides. RefSeq lists it as uncharacterized. The record is from RefSeq and is a predicted model, not a curated record. Lineage: Eukaryota; Metazoa; Chordata; Actinopteri; Syngnathiformes; Syngnathidae. The transcript has 4 exons.
GUAGUUUCAAUCUGGCGCUUUUGCUGUUUGCGAGUCUGAUUAUAAACUACAUCUCCCAGAAUCCCUUGCGCAGCGCGGGACUCAACGUGGGAGCGCCGAGCGCCGUAAAGGAGAGCGGGGAGGAGCAGGAAGUGAAGUACCUUACACUUCGUAGUCGAUAAGAGGAUUUUUAAUUUUUUUCAUUUUUAUUUUUAUUUUUUUAAAAUAACUGUUUGAGUUCUGUUGCUAACACACGGACAAAAACAUAACCUCUGUGGCGGAGGUAACAACGCGUCUGGAGUGUUCCAAGCCAAAACAGACUCGGUCAUGGCGCAGCGUGCUGAGGGAAAUCACCUGCUUCACACGGAAGCUACUUAACAACCUGCUGUCACUCGGAGAAGAUGAAGCCAGCGAAGUUAAACGUCAAUUUGUGAGAGCUUAUUGAAUGAUCUUUGAGAAUUUGCCCAGGUCUGCAUUAGAGUGUGUGCAUGGACACUGGGACUUCUUCCGGGGUUCCCUCUCCUCUCUAAGUCUACGUCCACAGCGAAUCCCUUCUCCUUUCCAGAGGGCAGUCAAGCGGCUUAUUAAAGAAAAACCUUCUGUCUGCAAGGUCACGGCCCUGAAUGUUCUACCUUUUAUCCAAAGUUGCAGAGUUGGCGUCUCCUCCACCAACCCACGCUCGCUCUCUCAGCGCAGCUCGCCAAGAUGGUCCGGCUGUGGACGCACAGGAAGUUCCGACGUGAGUCCAGCUGGCCCGACGGGGACGGGGCGAGUGGAACAGAUGUGCGCCAGGCUUUGAUGUAGGUGAGACUUCUGCACAGGUUUUAAUGAAGAGGAAGGAGAAGUUUCAGUGAUACAUGCUCGAACUAGGCAUGACAACCUUAGGCAGAAAUACCACAAUUACAGCUCUUAUUUUGAAAUGUUCUAAUUAAAAAGAGGAGAAAAAUAACUUUUCAGCUCAACACUCAUUUAAAAACAACCAUUAUAGAACAGGGACAAGCUGCACUGAUUUUUUUACACUGAUUUUUUUAUACACUGAAUUUUAAAACACUGCAUUUUAACAAAUUACAUUUUUAAACCUAACAUUUAAAAAAUUGUGAGCAUAACGUCAUUGAAUUUGUGAGCAUAAUUUGUGUGCUUAAAAAUUAAUUUUGUUAAAAUACAGUGUUCUAAAAUUCAGUAUAUAAAACAAUCAGUGCAGGAAUGUUUGUCGCUUCAAAGCUCAAGAAACACUUGGCGGUAAAUUAACUGAAAUUAUGAAAUGAAAUGAAUUUUAAAAAAUUAUGAAACUGUCAGCAUAAUUUGCUCAGUUACAUAAAUUCAGUGGAAAAAAAAGCUUUCAUAUUAAAGACACAAAUCUAACUUCAUAUAUAACAAAAAAAGGUCUGUACAAGAACUUUGCAUCGUUUCUUUAUGACAAUGAACUAUGACUAAAUAUUACCUGUACACUUUUCUGGGAGCGACUCUUGGCGAGUUUUUUUUCCAUUCAUUGUUGUGCAAAAUGUAUGUUUACCUAUGUCUUGUUAACCUUCUUUUACCGAUGUUUACCUACUUUUUGCUUUCUUUACAGAUGCGUACCUUUUUAUUUGACCUUUUACCUACUUUUCCCUCUUUCCUUGCAUUUUUUGGCUUUGUUUACUUACUUUUUACCCUUCCACUUUUUUUUACCUUCUUUUACGUGUUUACCUAUUUUUAAACCUUCUUUUACGUUGUUUAGCCUGUUAACUCACAUUUUACGUCCUUUUACCAAUGUUUACCUAUUUGUUUACCUUCUCUGACUUAUGUUUACCUUCUUUUUCCCCCUUCUUUUGUGUGUUUUAAGCUUUGUUUACUUACUUUUCACCCUAUUUGAUCUACUUUUUUUAAAUUGUACUUUUUUAGAUAUUUUUUUAAACCUUCUUUCACGUUCUUUUGCCGGGGUAACCCACUUUUUUUUUAAUGUACUUUUACCUAUGUUUAUCUACAAAACCCAAAACCAGUGAAAUGACACAUUGUGUAAAUCGUAAAUAAAAACAAAAUACAAUGAUUUGCAAAUCCUUUUCAACCUAUAUUCAGUUGAAUAGACUGCAAAGACAAGAUAUUUAAUGUUCAAACUGGUAAACUUUGUUAUUUUUUGCAAAUAUUAGCUCAUUUGGAAUUUGAUGCCUGCCACAUGUUUCAAAAAAGCUGGCACACGUGGCAAAAAAGACUGAGAAAGUCGAGGAAUGCUCAUCACACACUUAAUUGGAACAUCCCACAGGUGAACGGGCUAAUUGGUAACAGGUGGGUGCCAUGAUUGGGUAUAAAAGCAGGUUCCAUGAAAUGCUCAGUCAUUCACAAACAAGGAUGGGGCGAGGGUCACCACUUUGUCAACAAAUGUGUGAGCAAAUUGUCCAACAGUUUAAGACCAACAUUUCUCAACGAGCUAUUGCAAGGAAUUUAGGGAUUUCACCAUCUAAGGUCUGUAAUAUCAUCAAAAAGUUCAGAACAUCUGGACAAAUCACUGCACGUAAGCGGCAAGGCCGAAAACCCUCUUUUGCCUAUGUUUACCUAUUUUAUACCAUCUUAUAGAGAUGUUUACCUAUUUUUUAACCUUCUUUUACCUAUAUUUACCUACUUUAAAAAUAUAUAUUUAUAUUUCCUAUUUUGACCAUGUUUACAUUUUUUUUACCUUCUUAUACUAAUGUUUAUCUAUUCUUAAAAACUUUUACCUAUGUUUUCUUGCUUUUUUACCUUCUUGUACUGAAGUGAAUUAUAUAUUUUUUUAUAUUUUUCUGAUGUUUACCCAUUUUUUUUAACCUUCUUUUAGUUAUGUUUACCUAUUUUUUAAACCGUCUUUUACUGUCGUUUACCUUUUUUUUUAACCUUUUUUACUCAUUUAAAAAAUAUUUAUUUUAUCCUCUUUAAUACAUGUUUACUGAUUAAA